RNAcentral lists this ribosomal RNA (425 nucleotides) under uncultured bacterium. Its description in RNAcentral is "bacterial SSU rRNA". It matches the Rfam family "Bacterial small subunit ribosomal RNA", at positions 354 to 796 of the family's 1533-position model. The record is from RNAcentral.
GUGGGGAAUCUUGCGCAAUGGGCGAAAGCCUGACGCAGCCAUGCCGCGUGUAUGAUGAAGGUCUUAGGAUUGUAAAAUACUUUCACCGGGGAAGAUAAUGACGGUACCCGGAGAAGAAGCCCCGGCUAACUUCGUGCCAGCAGCCGCGGUAAUACGAAGGGGGCUAGCGUUGCUCGGAAUUACUGGGCGUAAAGGGCGCGUAGGCGGACAGUUUAGUCAGAGGUGAAAGCCCAGGGCUCAACCUUGGAAUUGCCUUUGAUACUGGCUGUCUUGAGUUCGGGAGAGGUGAGUGGAAUGCCGAGUGUAGAGGUGAAAUUCGUAGAUAUUCGGCGGAACACCAGUGGCGAAGGCGACUCACUGGCCCGAUACUGACGCUGAGGCGCGAAAGCGUGGGGAGCAAACAGGAUUAGAAACCCUAGUAGUCC